This 4891-nucleotide long non-coding RNA is filed under the name Homo sapiens (human). RNAcentral describes it as "non-protein coding lnc-GRIK2-2:6". Lineage: Eukaryota; Metazoa; Chordata; Mammalia; Primates; Hominidae. The record is from RNAcentral.
AGUCCGCUGGGUUCGGAGGAGCAGAGGCGGAAGGUCCCGGCGGCGGCGAGGAUGCGCCCCAGGGCGGGAGCGGGACGCUCCACUUUACCCUGGCUGCCCGCAACGGGCCAGGCCUGCCGUCUCUACCUCUCUACCUGUGAGUUUUUUCCCUGCAUUUACUUCAGUCUGCCGCGUCUUCUCCCCGCCCUUCUCUGUAAGGUAAAUAUGUGGAGGAAAUAAUUCCUAUUAAAGGUAAAGGAAAGGAGAGCAAUUUGAAUGAAGAAACAGGUAGUUGCUAUCGUCGUUUUCAGCCAAAGCCCUCUGGCUGCUAGAGAGUAUACAUGGUUCUCUGGUGUCAAGGCCUGUUUUCCAUAAGCUUUCUGGAUUCUCAGCUUAGUUCCCUCAAAGUGAUCUCUGCAAGUCGGCUCUUCGGUCAGAAGACCUCCUCCAAAAACAGAAAGCCCAAAGAUUCCCUAACUCGAUUGAAAAGAUAGGAAGAUACGAAGAAAAACUAACCUAAAGAAUUGUGUGGUUUAUCUGCAAAGAGUUCUAGACUAAAAGCCAACAAUGCAAAGAUAGUAUGAGUUAAUAUGUUUGUUGUGGCUCUCUUCUGCCAUUCCCGCUUCCUCAAGGUAAUGUGCCCCGAUGCCUGGUAGAACUGUUUUGUAGAGGCAGCCAAUAGUGAUCCAGUUAUUGUCUUUACUGGUCAGACCACCUCUGAAGUGCUGUGUUCAGCAUUUGAAGACUUUAAUCAAGCUGGCAUUAUAUCAGGGAAGAGCAAAAUGAUGACGAGAACUCAAAAACAGGGCAAGUGAAGAAGGAUUGAUUAAACCUUCCAGGACUCACCUAGAAGAGAGAAAACUACUGGACUCUCUCCAAAUAUGAAAUGACCUAUCAUGUGAAGUUGAUUUGUUUCAUGUGAUGCAAACUUCAGGGAACAGAUUUAAGAUCCUGAAAAGAAGAUGCCCUUGUAGCACGACCCAAAGAAUUGCCUACCUUAGCAUGUGUGAAUACCUCAACCACAGAAUUUUGCUUCAAGGAGAUUCUGAAGCUCACUUAAUAGGGACUUGGUACAGGGGAGCCACACAUCAACAGAAUAAUUAGUUGAUGGUUUUGUUAAAGAUAUUUCCAGUCUUGAGAUUACAUGUGUCUUUGGUCCUGGACUUCAUAGAGUUUACAAGUUAGUUCAUGAGACAAGACAAAUGCAUCACAAAAAUAAAUAAUGCAAGGAGGCCAAGUGAUAAUGAGAGGUGCUGAUAAGUGCUAGGAAUUCACAUGACAGAUUAUUCCCAUCACAGUUCCAGAGGCUUAAGGGAGAAGAGAGGAACUGAAAAUAGACUACCUAGAACUGCCCUAUCCAUUGGGGUAGCCACCAGUUAAAUACGUCUCUUGACAUUUGAAAUGUGGCUUGUCCAAACUGAGACAUGCAAUGAGUCCAAAAUGUACACCAGAUUUCAAAGACUUAGAAAACAAAUGUAAAAUAUUGUAAUUCUUAUGUCGAUUACAUGUUGAAAUAAUAUAUAAUGGAUCAAAUAAAAUAUGUUAAAAUUAAUUUCAACUUUAUUUUUACUUUUUAUGUGACUUCUAGAAAAUUUUUAAUUACAUAGGUGGCUUGCAUCAUAUUUGUAUUACAUAGUCCUGGCCUGGAAGGAAAUUCAGUUAGCCCUCUGUAUCCAUGGCUUCUGUAUAUGUGUCAACCAACUUUGGAACAAAAACAAUUGAAAAAAAAAAAAAAAAAGAAUGGUAAUGUCUGCAUUGAACACGCACAGACUCUUUUUUUCUUGUCAUUAUUUCCUUAACAAUAUGGAUGUAACAACUGUUUACAUAGCAUUUCCCAUUGUAUUAGGUAUUAUAAGUAACCUAGAGAUGGUUUAAGGUAUAUGGGACAAUGUGCAUAGUUUGUAUGCAAAUACUAUACCAUUGUGUGUAAGGACUUGAGCAUCCUGGGGUUUUGGUAUGUGGGAGUGUCCUGGAACCAAUCCCCUGUGGACACUGAGGGAUGGUCUUACUUCAUUGAACUCUAAGAGCUAUCUUUGUCCUCUUUAUAGUCCCCAGGGUUUCCCCAUUUUUUUUUUCAAGAGAUGGGGUCUUGCUGUAUUGCGCAAGCAGAAGUGCACUGGGUAUUCACAAGCAUGAUCAUUGUGCACAACAGCCGUGAACUCCUGGGCUCAAUGAUUCUUCUGCUUCAUCCUCUCAAGUAGCUAGGACUACAGGUACCUGCCAUCAAGCCCAGCUUCCCCAAAUGUUAGUGGAAAGACAACCUAAUGAAAAUGGCCCUGAUGACAAAGAGAAAGACCGUCCAGAAAGUAUGCCAUGAGCAAAGACAAGAAACAAGACUAUAACUGCAUUCUAGAUAAUGAAAACCUAUUUAUCUGUAAUGGAACAUUGUUAAUAGAAGGUAGUGACAAAGUUAAAAUGUAAACAAACUAGUCUAUAAGGAGACUCAAUUUUAAAUUUAAAGAAUUGAGUAUAAUAGGCAGUCAGUGUUUGGCAGUCACAAAAUGGGAUUGGGAGAUUACUUUGGCAAUAUUGGGUAGGGUGGGUUGAAAUUAGUGCAUGGCUGGGAAACCAAUUAAAACUCAUUGCAGUGGGCUAGGCGCAGUGGCUCACCCCUGUAAUCCCAGUACUUUGGGAAGCUGAGGCAGGAGGAUCACUUAAAGCCAGAAGUUCAAAAGCAGCCUGGGCAACAUAGGAAGACCCCCAUCUCUACAAAAAAUAGAAAAAAAAUAGUCAGACUUGAUGGUACAUACCUGUAGUCCUAGUUACCAAGGAGACUGAAUUUGGAGGCUCUCUUGAGGCCAGGAGUUUGAGGCUACAGUGAGCUAUGAUCAUGCCAUUCAGCUCCAGUCUGGGCAACAGAGCAAGACCCCAUCUCUAAUUGAAAAACAAAACAAAACUCCACAUUGCAUUUAAAAAUAUAUCAUAUGGCUGGGUGUGGUGGCUCACAGCUGUAAUCCCAGUACUUUGGGAGGCUGAAGCAGGUGAAUUGCUUGAGCCCAGGAGUUUGAGACCAGCCUGUGCAACAUGACAAAACCCUUUCUCUAAAAAAAAAAAAAAAAAAAAAAAAAAUGAAAAUUAGCUGGGUGUGGUGGCAUGCACCUAUAGUCCCAGCUGCUCAGGAGGCUAAGGCAGGAGGAUCACUUAAGCUGGGAGGUCAAGGCUACAGUGAGCCAUUAUCGCACCCUUGCACUCUAGCCUGGGUAACAGUGAAACACUGUCUUAAAAAAAAAAAGUAUCAUACCAAAAAAAGGCUCAAUAUUGGAUUUAUUUAAAUAAAUUGUAAUACAUCUCUAAAUAUAGAGGCAUUAAAAAAGUAUAAUGUGAAUCUGUAUUGCUUGAUAUGGUAAUAUGUCCAAAAUGUACAGUUGUAUGAAAGAGCUUGCAACACAAUCUAUACAUAAUAUGAACACAUUUAGGUAAAAUUAUAUAUGUUUGUGUGUGUCUUCUGUAUGUGUGUAACAUGAUUAUUUUGCAAAGAGUGCCUUAAAUUAUCUCAAAAUUGUCUCAAGAACAGAAAAUUUCAAGGUGGAAGUGUUUCCAACCUAUUUCUUACAGCUCAACAAAAUCAUUCAUGCUUUUGACUUUUUUCAUUUCUAUGUUUCAUUAUCCUUAGUAUGUUAGCCUUUCAUUAUCAGAUUUGCCACUUCAUGGUUUGUAAGGAUGGGUUGCCAAGUUUCAGAACCAUUUCCAGCCCAUCAGUCUCUGGAUACCUCCUUCAGUAUGUGUGUGCACUAGGUCUGCCUAGCUCACCAGUGUGCCAUAGCCUCAGCUUCUAGGCCUUUCUUAUUUUAUCUAUUGUCAGUCACUUCUUCCCUGCCCUUUUUCACCCCUGCCUUAUCCUGCAACACCGAGUCUUAAAAUUCCAUCUUUACUGCACUCCAGUGCAGUUCCUGCUCUGAAGUUGAUGCUUAACCUUUGAGGAAUGCUGAUUAAUAAAAGACUCAAUUCUAAAAUGUUUUUCUACUCUUUUAAAUAAAUGAUAUUAGAAAAGAAAAAAGUUAGAUUACUACCAUGGCAGACAGUGUUGUUUGCCUCCUCAACCACCAUUUCUUUCCUCUUUCUUAACUAGUAAGAUGAUUUUUUAAAAGUACCAAACAACUCAAAAAAUGUGAGCUUCUCCCAAAGUAAUUUCAUUUCCCUUUGAAUAAGAAUGUUGUAUAGGUGGGCAUAUGGGCCAAGGGACAAUCAGCUUCGGAGAAUCCUGCAAUAUGUUUUACCCAGGUUUCAAAAUAUGUGCUUACAAUAUAUAAAGGGUUUUUCUUGAAUUACUGUUCAAUAUGGUGAACUCGGCAUAUCAUUUGCCUACUAUCCUUUCCUACACACCAUAGAAAUAAAAAUGAAGAAACAGAAAAAAUGAAGAAUAAGUGAAGGAGUAAAGAUGAUGUGUGCCUGUAUGCAUGCACUUACAUGAGUAGAAAAAAGUAGAUGAUGUCAAGAGAAGCAAAUGAAAUUUCAAAAAUGUGUUGGGAUACAAAGCAAAUAGUAGUGAUUUGACCAAAACCAUAGCCUAAAAAAUAUAGUGGAGAAGCUACACAGGAUAGGGCAGAAGUGAGAAUAAGGGCUGAAAAUGGGGAUAAAAUAUGGCACAAUUGAAUCUAUCACCAUACACAUUUCGCUUUCUCAGACAUAUAGACUGAGAGCAAGCAAAAGAUAUUAAUAUCUGCCACCAGACAAAAAGACCAAAACUGACCCCCCAAAUCUUCUCCAAAUUAAUUGAAUAACUAGUACAGAAAAGUGAAGACUUUUAGGUUGAUGACACAAAGGAAAAACAUUCUUAUUCAAGCAUUCAGGGCCAGCAUCCUGAGAAUAAGCUAAUUGCCUACUCAUGUAAAGUGAAACUUCAUAUUUGGCAUUCCUGGCCCUGUCCUACCUAACCCAGCCACGUAUUCACAAUUCCUACAUAGGAGAGAGA